GACAGAGGGGGCAAGCGUUGCUCGGAAUUACUGGGCGUAAAGGGCGCGUAGGCGGAAUGGCAAGUCGGUCGUGAAAUCCUUCGGCUCAACCGAAGAACGUCGAUCGAAACUGCCGUUCUUGAGGAUUGCAGAGGAGACUGGAAUUCCCGGUGUAGCGGUGAAAUGUGUAGAGAUCGGGAGGAACACCGGUGGCGAAGGCGGCCUGCUGGGCAGUAGCUGACGCUGAGGCGCGAAAGCCAGGGGAGCAAACGGG
This 253-nucleotide ribosomal RNA is filed under the name uncultured bacterium. RNAcentral's name for it is "partial 16S ribosomal RNA". It matches the Rfam family "Bacterial small subunit ribosomal RNA", at positions 524 to 776 of the family's 1533-position model. The record is from RNAcentral.